This 253-nucleotide ribosomal RNA is filed under the name uncultured bacterium. RNAcentral describes it as "partial 16S ribosomal RNA". It matches the Rfam family "Bacterial small subunit ribosomal RNA", at positions 524 to 776 of the family's 1533-position model. The record is from RNAcentral.
UACGUAGGGCGCAAGCGUUGUCCGGAAUUAUUGGGCGUAAAGAGCUCGUAGGCGGCCUGUCGCGUCGGUUGUGAAAGCCCGGGGCUCAACCCCGGGUCUGCAGUCGAUACGGGCAGGCUAGAGUUCGGUAGGGGAGAUCGGAAUUCCUGGUGUAGCGGUGAAAUGCGCAGAUAUCGGAAAGAACACCAACGGCGAAAGCACUCUGCUGGGCCGACACUGACACUGAGAGACGAAAGCUAGGGGAGCGAAUGGG